GGUCAUUUCUCAUGCACAGACAUCGAUGAAUGCCUCUCCGAUGGGGUCUGUCCAGAGUAUGCUGAGUGUAUCAACUCCUUGGGAAGCUACAAUUGCAGCUGCCAGGUUGGAUUCAUCUCUCACAACUCGAUCUGUGAAGACGUGGAUGAAUGUGCCGACCCCGCAACUUGCCCGGAGCACGCAACUUGUCACAACAGUCCUGGAAGCUACUCUUGUGUCUGCAACCUAGGAUUUGAACCCAGCAGUGGAAACAUGAGCUUGCAGGGCCCAGGAGACACAUGUGAAGAUGUGGACGAAUGUGCCAGGAACUCAACUCUUUGUGGCCUCAGCUCAGUGUGUACCAACACCCCGGGGGAAUACCACUGCUCCUGCCUGCCUGGGUUCUUUUCACCUGUCGAUUGGACCCUUGAGGAACCAGAGGAUUUCAGAUGUACAGGUAAUGCUCCCAGCCAUGCUGAGGACUUUUCAUGGAUGUCAACGUACCCUGAAGAGAGUGGCUUACAAACAACCCUUUCUGCUUGCUCAUGAUCCUGUGGGUUGACUGCAUGG
Herpailurus yagouaroundi (jaguarundi) is the source of this 549-nucleotide long non-coding RNA. RefSeq lists it as uncharacterized. The transcript is spliced from 4 exons. NCBI's taxonomy places the organism in Eukaryota, Metazoa, Chordata, Mammalia, Carnivora, Felidae. The record is from RefSeq and is a predicted model, not a curated record.